AUACGGAGGAUGCGAGCGUUAUCCGGAUUUAUUGGGUUUAAAGGGAGCGUAGGUGGGAUAUUAAGUCAGCUGUGAAAGUUUGGGGCUCAACCUUAAAAUUGCAGUUGAUACUGGUUUCCUUGAGUACGGUACAGGUGGGCGGAAUUCGUGGUGUAGCGGUGAAAUGCUUAGAUAUCACGAAGAACUCCGAUCGCGAAGGCAGCUCACCGGGCCGGAACUGACACUGAUGCUCGAAAGUGCGGGUAUCGAACAGGAUUAGAUACCCUGGUAGUCCGCACAGUAAACGAUUAAUACUCGCUGUUUGCGAUACACGGUAAGCGGCCAAGCGAAAGCGUUAAGUAUUCCACCUGGGGAGUACGCCGGCAACGGUGAAACUCAAAGGAAUUGACGGGG
Molecule: ribosomal RNA, 393 nt
Filed under: uncultured bacterium
Lineage: Bacteria
Description: partial 16S ribosomal RNA
Rfam family: Bacterial small subunit ribosomal RNA
Source: RNAcentral